AUUGAACGCUGACGGCAUGCCUUACACAUGCAAGUCGAACGGCAGCAUGGAGAGCUUGCUCUCUGAUGGCGAGUGGCGAACGGGUGAGUAAUGCAUCGGAACGUACCGUGUAAUGGGGGAUAACGUAGCGAAAGUUACGCUAAUACCGCAUACGACCUGAGGGUGAAAGCAGGGGAUCGCAAGAACUUGCGUUAUACGAGCGGCCGAUGUCAGAUUGGCUGGUUGGUGAGGUAAAGGCUCACCAAGGCGACGAUCUGUAGCGGGGCUGAGAGGAUGCUCCGGCUCACUGGGACUGAGACACGUCCCAGACUCCGACGGUAGGCAGCAGUGGGGAAUUGUGGACAAUGGGGGCAACCCUGAUCCAGCCAUGCCGCGUGAGUGAAGAAGGCCUUCGGGUUGUAAAGCUCUUUCGGCCAGGAAGAAAUCGCACAGGCUAAUACUCUGUGUGGAUGACGGUACCGGCAUAAGAAGCACCGGCUAACUACGUGCCAGCCGCCGCAGUAA
RNAcentral lists this ribosomal RNA (504 nucleotides) under uncultured bacterium. RNAcentral's name for it is "partial 16S ribosomal RNA". It matches the Rfam family "Bacterial small subunit ribosomal RNA", at positions 30 to 523 of the family's 1533-position model. The record is from RNAcentral.